Gossypium raimondii (Peruvian cotton) is the source of this 107-nucleotide small nucleolar RNA. It matches the Rfam family "Plant small nucleolar RNA R71". Rfam says of the family: R71 is a member of the C/D box family of snoRNAs containing the C (UGAUGA) and D (CUGA) box motifs. Multiple nearly identical copies of this snoRNA have been identified in Arabidopsis, and it is thought to function as a 2'-O-ribose methylation guide for 18S ribosomal RNA. The record is from Rfam. NCBI's taxonomy places the organism in Eukaryota, Viridiplantae, Streptophyta, Magnoliopsida, Malvales, Malvaceae.
AAACCAUGGUAUGGACACUUGCCCAACAUCAAUUUGAAGUGCUCCCAAGCCUCCUAUAAUGACUCUCCUUCCAAUUGUCGAAAAUUUGUAAUGUUUAUUCGAAGUUU